AUGCCAAUUGAAUCAAUGUUAUUAGCUGUCAAUUUGAACUUUUUGGUAUUUUCCGUUUCUUUGGAUGAUAUGAUGGGUCAAUCAUUUGCUUCAUUAGUUCCAACAGUGGCAGCUGCGGAAUCUGCUAUUGGAUUAGCCAUUUUCGUUAUUACUUUUCGAGUCCGACGAGGUUUAAAGGUACCUUUUCCCGUUGUCUGCUUUGCCUUCGUACGACUUUCCUUGGCAAACUAUCCCAAAAAAGGAAUGGGCUUUUUCAAAAUCAAAGCGUACUCGUCAGGGUUGAGUUGA
RNAcentral lists this ribosomal RNA (288 nucleotides) under Triticum aestivum (bread wheat). Its description in RNAcentral is "partial small subunit ribosomal RNA". The record is from RNAcentral. Lineage: Eukaryota; Viridiplantae; Streptophyta; Magnoliopsida; Poales; Poaceae.